This 37-nucleotide non-coding RNA is filed under the name Trypanosoma brucei brucei. Lineage: Eukaryota; Euglenozoa; Kinetoplastea; Trypanosomatida; Trypanosomatidae. The record is from RNAcentral.
AAUAACCUGUAAUAUGAUCAGUGUAGAUGGUAAAUUA